CAGUAAGGGAUAUUGCGCGAAUGGACGAAAGUCUGACGCAGCAACGCCGCGUGCGGGAGGAAGGCCUUCGGGUCGUAAACCGCUUUUCGAGGUGAAGAGCGAGGACGGUAGCCUCGGAAGAAGUCUCGGCUAACUACGUGCCAGCAGCCGCGGUAAAACGUAGGAGGCGAGCGUUAUCCGGAUUUACUGGGUGUAAAGCGCGUGCAGGCGGUUGGAUAAGUGUGAUGUGAAAGCGCCUGGCUCAACCGGGCGAGGACGUCGCAAACUGUUCGACUGGAGGCAGGGAGAGGUCUGUGGAAUUCCGGGUGUAGUGGUGAAAUGCGUAGAGAUCCGGAGGAACACCAGUGGCGAAGGCGGCAGACUGGCCCUGACCUGACGCUCAGACGCGAAAGCACGGGGAGCGAACGG
This 408-nucleotide ribosomal RNA is filed under the name uncultured bacterium. RNAcentral describes it as "bacterial SSU rRNA". It matches the Rfam family "Bacterial small subunit ribosomal RNA", at positions 352 to 775 of the family's 1533-position model. The record is from RNAcentral.